GAUGAAGAACGUAGCGAAAUGCGAUAAGUAAUGUGAAUUGCAGAAUUCAGUGAAUCAUCGAAUCUUUGAACGCACAUUGCGCCCGCCAGUAUUCUGGCGGGCAUGCCUGUUCGAGCGACAUUACAACCCUCAGGCCCCCGGGCCUGGCGUUGGGGAUCGGCGGAGCCCCCCGUGGGCACACGCCGUCCCCCAAAUGCAGUGGCGGUCCCGCCGCAGCUUCCAUCGCGUAGUAGCUAACACCUCGCGACUGGAGAGCGGCGCGGCCACGCCGUAAAACACCCAACUCUUCUGAAGUUGACCUCGAAUCAGGUAGGAAUACCCGCUGAACUUAAGCAUAUCAAUAAGCGGAGGA
This 352-nucleotide unclassified non-coding RNA is filed under the name soil metagenome. Its description in RNAcentral is "partial contains 5.8S ribosomal RNA, internal transcribed spacer 2, and large subunit ribosomal RNA". The stretch from base 1 to 120 matches the Rfam family "5.8S ribosomal RNA", at positions 35 to 154 of the family's 154-position model. The record is from RNAcentral.